This 395-nucleotide ribosomal RNA is filed under the name uncultured bacterium. Its description in RNAcentral is "bacterial SSU rRNA". It matches the Rfam family "Bacterial small subunit ribosomal RNA", at positions 505 to 898 of the family's 1533-position model. The record is from RNAcentral.
GUGUCAGCAGCCGCGGUAAAACGUAGGAGGCGAGCGUUAUCCGGAUUCACUGGGUGUAAAGCGCGUGCAGGCGGUUCGGUAAGUUGGGCGUGAAAUCUCCCGGCUCAACUGGGAGAGGUCGUUCAAUACUACCGGGCUAGAGAGCGGUAGAGGAAGAUGGAAUUCCCGGUGUAGUGGUGAAAUGCGUAGAUAUCGGGAGGAACACCAGUGGCGAAGGCGAUCUUCUGGACCGUUUCUGACGCUCAGACGCGACAGCUAGGGUAGCAAACGGGAUUAGAGACCCCGGUAGUCCUAGCCGUAAACGAUGUGAACUUGGCGUCGGUGGGUUAAACUCCAUCGGUGCCGCAGCCAACGCGAUAAGUUCACCACCUGGGGACUACGGCCGCAAGGUUAAA